UACGUAGGGGGCUAGCGUUGUCCGGAAUCAUUGGGCGUAAAGGGCGCGUAGGCGGCCUUCUAAGUCAGACGUGAAAUCCCCCGGCUUAACCUGGGAACUGCGUCUGAUACUGGGAGGCUUGAGUAUGGGAGAGGGAUGUAGAAUUCCAGGUGUAGCGGUGAAAUGCGUAGAUAUCUGGAGGAAUACCGGUGGCGAAGGCGGCAUCCUGGACCAUAACUGACGCUGAGGCGCGAAAGCUAGGGGAGCAAACGGG
RNAcentral lists this ribosomal RNA (253 nucleotides) under uncultured bacterium. Its description in RNAcentral is "partial 16S ribosomal RNA". It matches the Rfam family "Bacterial small subunit ribosomal RNA", at positions 524 to 776 of the family's 1533-position model. The record is from RNAcentral.